RNAcentral lists this ribosomal RNA (464 nucleotides) under uncultured bacterium. RNAcentral's name for it is "partial 16S ribosomal RNA". It matches the Rfam family "Bacterial small subunit ribosomal RNA", at positions 339 to 795 of the family's 1533-position model. The record is from RNAcentral.
CUACGUGUCGCAGCAGUGGGGAAUAUUGCACAAUGGGCGCAAGCCUGAUGCAGCCAUGCCGCGUGUAUGAAGAAGGCCUUCGGGUUGUAAAGUACUUUCAGCGGGGAGGAAGGGAGUAAAGUUAAUACCUUUGCUCAUUGACGUUACCCGCAGAAGAAGCACCGGCUAACUCCGUGCCAGCAGCCGCGGUAAUACGGAGGGUGCAAGCGUUAAUCGGAAUUACUGGGCGUAAAGCGCACGCAGGCGGUUUGUUAAGUCAGAUGUGAAAUCCCCGGGCUCAACCUGGGAACUGCAUCUGAUACUGGCAAGCUUGAGUCUCGUAGAGGGGGGUAGAAUUCCAGGUGUAGCAGUGAAAUGCGUAGAGAUCUGGAGGAAUACCGGUGGCGAAGGCGGCCCCCUGGACGAAGACUGACGCUCAGGUGCGAAAGCGUGGGGAGCAAACAGGAUUAGAUACCCGAGUAGUC